ACGUCAUGAAUAUUUUAAUAUAUUUACGGCAUAUUUGUACACCUUUAAUGGGAUAAAUAUUCCUCGUAGAAAUUUUCACAUUUAAGUCAUCUUUUUUGCCCCGUAAAUAAGCAAUAAAACUUGCCCCCAAAAAUUUUCCUCUCCGCGCCAAAAUUUUCACACUCCCGCACAAUUAAAAUCACUUUAAAAAUGUAUACAUAAAAAAAAAAAAAAAAAAAAAAGAAGAAAGAACUUAAGAGACAUAUAUCUCUUCGUCCUCAGACCCAUUCACAUUUGGAGACCCAAACACAUGAGGAACCAUAUUUCUUUCCCUUGGUGCAGUUCCCAGAUUAGAUCCACACGGCCCGCAUGCUCAGGCUUCUUCUCUUCAUGGUUGCUUUUGUUCGAUCUUGGAGUUCUGAUUCACGCUUCUCUUCGUGGUUGCUUUUGUUCAAUCUUGGAGUUUUCGGCCAAAUCGCAUUGUCGAGUAAGCUUCGCCGUCCCAAAUUUGGAGCAAUCAGCGAUGGAAAGAAAGGCUUCCAACACCAUUAUCACCGACGAGAUUGCUGGACCUGUAAGUGGUAACACGAAACAACCACACAGAAAACACGUCUUAGCAGACCAUUUAUCCCUCUUUCAUCAAGCCCUAAUAUUUCUCUUCUUGAAAUGGAAAAGCAAAAUUCAGUCUCUGUCCUUGGCUUCUUCAAACUUGUAUCAUGUUACUUGGAUUUUCUUUCUCUUUUCUCUGUUUUUGUUUCCUUUUUUUGUCUCUUGUUGUUUGAUUAUUGUUGCAAGUAGAGGAAAGAUCAUCAAACCCAGCCAAAUGGAUACCAAGAAUUCUUCUUCCAAAAGAAAAACCUCCAAGAUCCCCUCUGAGAUGAUGGAGGACGACUUGUCUGUACGGAGAGAUUAAGAACCAAAGAUAUAACAUACAGAGUAGAACCGAAGAAUUAUUGGCAGGUGGAGGUUUGAUAUCUGGGGUUACAUUGGUUGCCAAGUUUAUCAACCCUGCUAUUCGAGUUUUGGCUGCUGAAUCAAUGGGAGCACCUACUUGCUUGGAUUUUGUACCGUGGAAAAUGAGGUGGUUUUUGACAAGUGUAGAUUGAAACUCAAUUGCUAAGAAAUUGAUUUUUUUUUUUUUUGCAAAUGGCUUUACUUCAUAUUUUGGCACAUUGAUCAAUCAUGAAUUCUUGAAUUGUAAAAAUAUUUUAAGUCUUUUGAUAUGUUUAAUGUGGUAUUUCAAGAUA
Molecule: long non-coding RNA, 1226 nt
Organism: Cornus florida
Lineage: Eukaryota; Viridiplantae; Streptophyta; Magnoliopsida; Cornales; Cornaceae
Exons: 3
Source: RefSeq, a predicted model, not a curated record